This 551-nucleotide unclassified non-coding RNA is filed under the name Hevea brasiliensis (rubber tree). The record is from RNAcentral. Lineage: Eukaryota; Viridiplantae; Streptophyta; Magnoliopsida; Malpighiales; Euphorbiaceae.
GAUGCAUUGCAAAAGGAAUUUGGAAUUGGCCCAGAAAACAAAUUAUUUGAAAUACUAAAACUCUGGAGAUUUGGAAGAGUAAACCCAAUGUUGUUUGGUAGGCUACAACAAAGCUUGUUUUGCGGUAUUGAGAUCACAUUAAGAGAUGAGAUAUUGAAAAUAGAUAAAGGGAAUACACCAGAUAGUUUAUUUAACCCAAAACUGAAAAAUGUUAGGCUUGUUAAUCGACCCAAUUCAUCUGGAAUAUUUCCCUCUAACUCCAUAUUUUCUCCAACAAGGAUAUUAAGCAAUGAAAGGUUGCCAAGGGAAGGUGUGAUUUUUCCAUUCAGAUUGUUUGCUCUGAAUCGAAGGUCUUCAAGCAUAGGUAAAGAGCCAAGCUCUGCAGGGAUUUUCCCAGUUAGAUCAUUCCAUGAUAGGCGGAGUAUCCUGAGACGGGAACAACGCGUCAAGUUGACAGGAAUUUCACCUUCUAUUGUGUUGUUGUUGAGAUAGAAUUCCCGAAAUCGAAACAAAUUACCGAUUUCCUGGGGAAUUUGACCAUUGAAACUGUU